GUAACAGUUUUUUCUCAGCGAAAAAAUGCUUUUAAAAAUCUUUGUAAAUUUGUUUUGGCGGAAAAUAAAUUUAGAAGGGAUUUUAAAGGGGUUUUAAAAGAUUUAUAAGGGAUUUUAAAAAGAUUUUAAAAGAUUUACAAGAGAUUUUAAAAGGUUUUUAAAAUAUUUACAACGGAUUUUAAAGGGCUUUAAAAGAUUUACAAAGGUUUUCUAAAGAUUUUUAAAGGGUUUAAAAAUAUUUUAAAAGAUUUACAAGGGAUUUUAAAAGGGUUUUAAAAUAUUUACAAGGGAUUUUAAAAGGAUUUAAAAAGACUUACAAGGGAUUUUAAAAGGGUUUUAAAAGAUUUAUAAGGGAUUUUAAAAGGUUUUUAAAAAAUUUACAAGAGUUUUUAAAGGGUCUACUUGUAAAUUCUUUAAAAAUCUUUUUAAAACCCUUAUACAUAUUUUAAUACCCUUUUAAACCCUUUUAAAAUCUCUUGUAAAUCUUUUAAAACCCUUUUUAAAUCCCUUGUAAAUCUUUUAAAACACUUUUAAACCCUUUACAAAUCUUUAAAAAACCUUUGUAAAUCUUUUAAAGCCCUUUAAAAUUUCUUGUCAAUAUUUUAAAACCCUUUUAAAAUCCCUUGUAAAUCGUUUAAAACCCUUUUAAAAUCACUUGUAAAUAUUUUGAAACCUUUUCAAAACAAUUUUAAACCCUUUUAAAAUCUUUAAAAA
Molecule: small RNA, 714 nt
Filed under: Arabidopsis thaliana (thale cress)
Lineage: Eukaryota; Viridiplantae; Streptophyta; Magnoliopsida; Brassicales; Brassicaceae
Description: ATSL216790
Source: RNAcentral